GAUGAACGCUGGCGGCGUGCCUAAUACAUGCAAGUCGAGCGAACAGACGAGGAGCUUGCUCCUCUGACGUUAGCGGCGGACGGGUGAGUAACACGUGGAUAACCUACCUAUAAGACUGGGAUAACUUCGGGAAACCGGAGCUAAUACCAGAUAAUAUAUUGAACCGCAUGGUUCAAUAGUGAAAGACGGUUUUGCUGUCACUUAUAGAUGGAUCCGCGCCGCAUUAGCUAGUUGGUAAGGUAACGGCUUACCAAGGCAACGAUGCGUAGCCGACCUGAGAGGGUGAUCGGCCACACUGGAACUGAGACACGGUCCAGACUCCUACGGGAGGCAGCAGUAGGGAAUCUUCCGCAAUGGGCGAAAGCUUGACGGAGCAACGCCGCGUGAGUGAUGAAGGUCUUCGGAUCGUAAAACUCUGUUAUUAGGGAAGAACAAAUGUGUAAGUAACUAUGCACGUCUUGACGGUACCUAAGCAGAAAGCCACGGCUAACUACGU
RNAcentral lists this ribosomal RNA (496 nucleotides) under uncultured bacterium. RNAcentral's name for it is "partial 16S ribosomal RNA". It matches the Rfam family "Bacterial small subunit ribosomal RNA", at positions 28 to 506 of the family's 1533-position model. The record is from RNAcentral.